This is a long non-coding RNA of Osmerus eperlanus (European smelt), 215 nucleotides long. RefSeq lists it as uncharacterized. NCBI's taxonomy places the organism in Eukaryota, Metazoa, Chordata, Actinopteri, Osmeriformes, Osmeridae. The transcript is spliced from 3 exons. The record is from RefSeq and is a predicted model, not a curated record.
CCGUAAUUACCAGUGAUACCCGAGUUCCCGAGUUGAAUGAUGUUUCCGAUGUUGAUUAACCUGUACCAUUUGUUGCGUCUAUUUCCUCCUCUAGAAGCAAGAAGCCAGGAGACCACUUACGACUCUGCGUUCCAGAUCCCUGAGUCACAGAGCUUUGGAAGAAGCGGAUACAAUCACAAUAAUAUGUGUAUGCAGGCUGAAGAAGAAGCAUCUGC